Molecule: small RNA, 273 nt
Filed under: Histoplasma ohiense
Lineage: Eukaryota; Fungi; Ascomycota; Eurotiomycetes; Onygenales; Ajellomycetaceae
Description: hypothetical lncRNA
Source: RNAcentral
ACCAACCCCUAGUUAUCCAUGAAACCUAUUCUAGUGCUCAGGCUCGGGUUCAGCCACGCUUUUUUUUUGCCUCUCCUCUUAUUCCAAGCGCGCUAGCUUUUCGAGAGGACCCACUGCGGUGGAUCAUAGAAGCUGAUGGCCGCGUGCAGAGGCCUGGGCCCCUGGCAGAAACUAGCUCAGCCAGUGAGCUUGAUGCCAUACCGGGGUCAUGAUACGUGGAUUCUUCUAAAAACUGUGCCCGGGAUCAGAGAAGAUUCUUCAAGCCGUUCAACG